CUGGGGCUGUAUUCGGUCCCAAGGGUUUGGCUGUUCGCCAUUUAAAGUGGUACGCGAGCUGGGUUUAGAACGUCGUGAGACAGUUCGGUCCCUAUCUGUCGUGGGCGCAGGAUAUUUGAUGGGAGCUGUUCCUAGUACGAGAGGACCGGAGCGGACGUACCUCUGGCGCACCAGUUGUUCUGCCAAGGGCAUAGCUGGGCAACUAUGUACGGAUCGGAUAAACGCUGAAAGCAUCUAAGCGUGAAGCCGACCCAAAGAUAAGAUAUCCCAUUGUUUCAAACAAGUAAGACCCCUUGAAGACUACAAGGUUGAUAGGCACGAUGUGUAAGUGGAGUGAUCCAUUCAGCAAGCGUGUACUAAUAGGUCGAGGGCUUGACCACAA
This 382-nucleotide ribosomal RNA is filed under the name Klebsiella pneumoniae subsp. pneumoniae. RNAcentral describes it as "partial 23S ribosomal RNA". It matches the Rfam family "Bacterial large subunit ribosomal RNA", at positions 2547 to 2925 of the family's 2925-position model. The record is from RNAcentral. Lineage: Bacteria; Pseudomonadati; Pseudomonadota; Gammaproteobacteria; Enterobacterales; Enterobacteriaceae.